This is a long non-coding RNA of Gallus gallus (chicken), 632 nucleotides long. The record is from Ensembl. NCBI's taxonomy places the organism in Eukaryota, Metazoa, Chordata, Aves, Galliformes, Phasianidae.
CUCCAGAUUCCACGCUUGCCUUUGAAAGCAAUUAAGUUUCUAGCACUUCUGGGAGCGACAAAGCUCCAUCUACGCAACCUGCCUGCUGCGCUCGCUGAGCCUGCGGCCUGGCAGCCCACACCACAGCACUAAGAGAGCACUAAGAACUUCCCCUCGACUCGUCUGGGAGUGGAGACUACGUGUGUUUGGCGGUCGGAGCUGCUGAGCGUUCCUAAGUCCAGGUGAAAUCAGUGGGAGCAACAUGUGCUCAGCACCUCGGGAAGCUGCCAGCAGGCCUUUUGAGCAUUGCACUGCUCGCUCAUCGGUCUAUCUGCUCCCUGUGCCAUACAGCGAGACACCCGGCUCCUCGAACAUGCUCAGUAAAGGGAACUGAAAAACAAGCUGACAACCAAAGGACCGUAGUGAAACACAGGCUCUGGUUUUAAAGGACAUUCAUGCUGUAGAGGAUCACGAGAAGAUUUUUCCUUUCCCCCCCACAAUUUUAAUACAGGAACAUCGCAAUUACAGCCAGGAAGAAAAAAGCACUGCUCAAAACUCCGUGUAUUUUUAUCUACGCAUAUGUGAUUACAAGUGACUUCUUUGACACCAGAUAUGCCGUGCAUUCUGUGCACAUCGCUGCAGCUUUAACCAUG